Molecule: non-coding RNA, 11010 nt
Organism: Podarcis lilfordi (Lilford's wall lizard)
Lineage: Eukaryota; Metazoa; Chordata; Lepidosauria; Squamata; Lacertidae
Source: the annotation of a GenBank genome assembly
GGAUGAAUAUUUUUAAUGUAUUAUUUAUCAAGAGAUUCCUUUACCACCAUUCACCAAAAUGGUCAUAGGAUGUUAAAAAGAAGAAGUAAAUAUACAAACAUACGGUAACAUUUAAUUAACUUAAUCACACUGUAGUACAAAUGAUGAUAUUCAAAAGACACAUGAGAGCAUUUUCAUAGAUGGGGCUUAAAGUUGUCUCCUGACUGAGAGUAUUUUGCAAGAAGCAUUCAAGUUGAACAAUUAAAAUGGAUUAAAGUGCUGUGCUGCCCUAGCACAACAAAUCUAGUUGUGCUUUUUUUAAAAAAACAAAAACAAACCAGACUUAUUGCUGUUAGCAAAAUGACAAAGAAAUGCACUUAGAAGUGUGGGGUGAAUGAAUGAUUAGUGGAAAGGUAUAUAAACACCAUUCAAGGAAAUCAGGAUGAAUUCUUAAUAAAGACCAGAUAGUCUAAUUUCUACGUAAGCUUUGUGCAAGAAAACCAAAAUGAAUGCGCAAUAAGUGGGUCAUCUGUAGGAGUGUCAGUCUACAAUGCAAAAGUACAAACUAUGUGUGUUAGAAGUAGUGAUGAACACAGAGUUUAGAAUUCAGAAGUACAGGAGUACAAAUUCUUGCAGGUACAAAUGAGUGUGGCCUCUCUACUGUUGAAACUAUCUGUUACCAUUUCAGGAUGGCUACAAUGAGAAAGCUUGCUAGCUGCUGCAACAUCUAUUAAAUAGUAUCAUUGUGGGCACCCAGACAUUGGGGAAACUACAUUUUUCUGGUGUUGGGGGGAGAAUGAGGCUUGUGGCUGUUGUUCAACAGCAACAUAUAUUAAUUCUAACAGCCAGUUUAAUAAUCCUGCUUCUUGUUUUGUGAUGAUCACAUGCAGUCUAAAGGAACCUGCAAAUUGGCCUUUAAAUUGAAUGUUUAAUCAAGGAGAAUUUUCUUAUAUAAAAGAAAGCUAUUUUACUCACUUUAGAUACUGAGCAAUUCACAAACCUUUUAGCAGUCAGAUAUAAAACAGAUUAACUAGCAGAGAGUUGAUCCAUAGAACUCCAGCCUCAGGAAAAGAUAUUUUGAAUACAUUUCCAACUACAGUAUUGCUGUGGCGAUUUUGCCCCAUCCUGACAGAAAUAAAAUGGAUGAGGUUCUUCUGGAAAAUAAUGCAAGGUUUGGCCAGCAUUCUAAAUUUCCAGUUCAUGCCCACUUUUGCCACUGCUUUUCAUCUACAGUACAUACAGUUGAAAAGCUCAUUGAUAAAGCUGAUAAGCAAAUUUCAUUUUCUAUGAACUUCAUUGCUUUGUGUUGAUUUCAUGUUUCACCAUAUCCUUGAAGUUUGGGCAGCACUGCCCAUCAAAUGUGUUUAGUGAUUUUAAUUAAUAAAAAGUGAUGGUGUAAAAAAAAAAAAAAGGUAAUACCCUUUGUAGCUGCCAUUGUAUUUUAGGCAUGAGUGCGUACCAGCUAGCUACAGUACAAUAAUCUGCUCAUCAUUUUACCUGUGCAUUCCUUCAAUUUACUUUUACCUGGUAUUCAGAUAUUUUUUAAUGUUUCCUUAUUGAUUCCACUACAUCUUCAGUUUCAUUCCAAGAGAAAAGUUUCUAUUGCUUCUUCAAUUAACCAUACUAGUUAGGUAAAAUUUAUAAUCCUGGUUCCUCUGACUAAACACUGAUGGACAGAUAUCUCUUUGAUGAGUAAUAUAAUAAAGAAGAAAUUUUCUGGAAGACUUCUUCACUAAAAUAGACUUCUAAAUCUCCUCCUGCAACUAAUAUCAAAGUGUCUGGUUCAAGGCACUAUGAAUAAGAAAAAAACCCACAUAAAAUUUAAAACACGGCUCAGCAGCAAAUCUCAAUUAAUAUUAGAAAGGGUACACAUUACUGCCUCAGGUCUUGAAUGUUACCCGCAAGUUUGGCUGCAAAACAAGCAGGCGAGUCUGGAUGAGCCAACAGAGGUAUACUCCAAAAGAAAGACUCCAAGUUUUCUAAUUUGUUAGCACACUCUUCAUCAGUGGUUGGUGUCCAUUGGGACUUAUAAGAGCUGAGGGCAAGGAGACCAACAGUAGGUGGAGCCAAAGUCAAUGACUAAUUCUAGUUUUGUCACCAUCAUGCUCCCUGCUGAGUUCUACAGGGACAAAGCUGAGGCUGAGGAAGAUGGCAGCAACUAAUCAUAAAUAAGAAGGCAGGUUGGCUGAAGGCAGAACUACGUUGCUGGAGCAGGUUGUAGGGCUGCGAUAUAUCCAGAUUUUUCCAGACAUUAUGGGGAUUUCAAAGGUGAAAUUAAUUUCUGGGGAGGAAUUUCUUAGACAAGUCAACAUCUUUUUAGGUGUCCUGGUUUUUACUUUUUGAAAUAUGGCAAUCCUAUCCAUUUGCCCUUAUGGAUCAGCCUCCACUGCUCCUCAUCAGAACCCUUUGCUGUGCCUAAAAAGAAAAACUCUUUAAAAGAAGUUGCCUUUUAUCAAGUCCUUCUAAACUCAGGAUUGCCCACUCUGGCUUAAAGUAGCUCUUCACGGACUCAGGCACCAUUUUCUCAUACCGCCUGCUCCUUGAUCUUUAAAUGAAAAACAAACACAUAAAAUUGGAACCAGGGACUUACCACAUGCAAAGUAUGUGCAAAUGCAAUUAUGAUUCAUCGCUUCUUCAUUUUCUCCCUUCCCAGAAGGGAACAAUUGGUUAUUACCUCUGAUGAAGAAUAUACCACACUCAAAAUGCAUUUAGCAGUUUGGAGAGGUUCUGUAAACAGAAGCAAUUUGUUCAAGCACCUUUAAGUUUAUCCCUGUUUGUUGGGCUGAAAAUUGGUGCUGACCUCCUUCCUUUCCUCUCCUUAGACUUCACCCCAAUUACUCUUGUACCUGCUUUUUUCACCACAGCUACCACUUCCUGGCUACUACCGUUUUAGGAGCCAUGGUGUUAGGUUAUGAUGCAGGGUUCUGGAAGUGGCAUCAGUAGUGAGGUAGAAAAACUGUGUGAUGAGGUCUUUCUUUAUUGUUGCAUUUUGGGAGUUAAUAUCUAAUGCUUAAGCAGCAGAAGAAGAAUUUGCUGAAAGCUAUCUGGUAAACUUCAUAGCUGUGUUGGAAUUUGAACCUGUGUUUCCCACCUGCUCCUCAGCCACACCCAAUGGUGCCCCCUUGAAUAAAAUAGGAGGGGUAAGCCCCACCCUGCAUAAUCAAUCACAUGAUGCGGCACAUGCACCCUAUUUGAAUGGCAAUACCCAUCAACUUUGGGGGGGACCCAGGCCCCUCAAAUAUUUUAUUGGGGGAGCGAAGACCCCUUGGCCCCUAGGAGUUAGCUUCUAUGGCCACACCCCUUACCAUGUCUAAAUGCUCUAUACCAGCAGUGGGGAACCUUAGUUCUGGGGACCAAAUGCAGCCCUUCAGAACUCUUGGGACCCUUGGGACUCUCCUUAGAUCAUGCCCCUUCUCAGCCACAUAUUUAAUGCCCCCUUGCUCUAAACACUGUCUUACAUUGGUUUUUAAAAAGUCUAAGAACAGGUGUUAUACCCUCCAAAAUCUGACAGACAGAAAGGACAUGCUUGUAAUAGGCAGUAUACUCUAAGGGCCCAACUAGAUGAGAUCCUAUUCAUCCAAAUACCAUUUAUUUGAAUGACAUUCUAAAAGACUGUUAAUCUGAAUCACUGGCACAUUACCAACACUUUGAACUUGAGGCUUGCAGGAAAUGGCAAAUGGAUCUAAGUUAAUUUUGGUUAUAUAUUUAGCUCUGCAAAAUAAAAUAGCUUAGGAAGUUCCAGAGAACCAUUUUAGUGUUUGUGAAUCCCUUUCUAGUGUCUAUGUAAGUGUUACAGUUGAAGCAGAAAAAAACUAAAUGGUAACAAAUAAAUGUACACAUGUACCUGAAGAAUAUAGUACAUCUGUUGAAAACAACCUAUAAAAUGAAUAAAUAAAUAAAUAUAUAAAUAGCAACACAAUCCUUCUUUGCUGAGAUGAGAAGUGAAUCACAUGAAAAUGCUGUGCUUACUAAGUUAUCCAUACAAUUUUCCAUUUACCACUUGACUCACUGACCAGAUUACAGUCCUCUUGCACCCCCCCAAUCCUUUGGGGACAUAAAGUUCUCUCCAGUAUUUUCUUGAUAAUUUCUCCUCUUUGGUUCUGGUGGUGUUCACUAUAGUUGUUAACUGACAUGAUACCUAAAUCAACUUUCAGAUACCUGUGGUGAGAGGCAGAGCUGUUGUCUUCCUUCAGUUCUUUAUCAGGAUGCAUUCCUUCAGUAUUUGGUCCAAAUAUAAAAGUCAAAGAUGCUAUCCAAAGAAUGAGACAGGUAGUCAGGAAACAUAUUUCCUCCCGUAGUCUGUGUUUGCGUUGGUGGUGUUGAAUUCUGGUUUGCAGUUCACAGCUUUAAACUUGAAACCUGAAGAAUUUAUACAAUAAAGGGGGGAACCCUCAAUUAGAGUGGCUGCAAUAUGUUUGGAAGGAUUUAUAUGGUUGGCUAAGCUGAUUUGCAGCAACAAGCUGUUUCUGAACAAUGUGGGGGUCUUCAGGGAAACAGCAGGAAGCUAAGUCGACUGUGGGUAGAAUGGUUCAGUAGCAUUACAAAGUAAAAGGGUGACUCAAAUGGAUCAUUCCUCUCCCCCAUCCCCAACAACAAUAAUAAAAUCCUUGUAGUAAAUUGCUCCAUUCUUCAUUAACCAAUUUGAUAAUGGUAGGCUUCUGUGAUAAGUUUAUGAAAAGGUUUUAUGUUUCCCUUUCACUGCAUAAUGUCAGGAGGACUAGGAAAAUUCAAUGAAGAUUGCAUAUUAGUAUAAGAGCUCUGCAAGUGUACAUACGUACCAGUUUCCAGUUACUUCCAGUCACAACAAAGAGCUUGAACCUAUGAGCCUCUGAACUAAUAGAAAACAGCAGGUUCUAUUUUACCUGUGUUGAAGCAUCUCUGCUUUGGUCUACAUUUAUGGAAGAAUGAGGUGGUAUUCUGCACUACACAGCUUCAAACUGUAGGUGUGUAUUCUGGAUUUGAAUGUUUCUAAAUGAGAGAAGGUGAAGAACACUAUUCCAGCACUUUGUUGUGCUGGUUUUCUAUUCGCAAAGGCAUAGGACUGUAUUAAAAAUGUGAUCACCCACCCACAGACUGAGUGGUACAGUCCAGAACACCACCUCAUCAUAACUUCUCAGUCACUGCAGUUCUAGUGCUCUGCCCUUCCCACAAACACACAUAAUACUGCAACAUCCAGUUUCUUUAUGUAUUACAUUUAUGUCUCACCUUUCCUUCAAGUAGCUCAAGGCAGCAUACAUGAAAGUGCAUCCCAGUUUAUCUUCACAACUAUCCUUAGCUUAGGCUGUGAGAAAGUUAUAUGCCCUAGAUCAUCCAAUGAGCUUCAUGACUGAGUGGGGAUUUGAAUUUGAUUCUCCUUGUCAUACACACUGUCAGGGGCUGGACUGAGGUGGAAUGGUGGGAACCGUGCCCCCCAUUCCAGCACCUUCCCAAGAAGAGGAGGAUAGUAUUGAUUUAGAACAGUGGUUUGCAGAAGGUUCAGAGGCUACAGAGGGGAGAAGCUGGGAAAUAUUGGGGAAUAGCAGGAAGAAGAAGCACCAGGGGAGAGACAGCUAACAGACUCAGUGUCUCUUGAAAGCAUUCCUGACCCCUACUCUCCCAGAACAAGGUGUGCCUUUAGGGUGGUAGAACAGAAAACUCAAAGGCAGAAAGCACAGGUCAGUCAGCGCAGGGGUGACGUAGAAUAGGGGAAACUGAUGUGGUGGAACUUUACUUGGAGCAAUGCCAUUUACUAAGAGAGACCGCAUUCCUUAGUCUCUCUCUUUGAAUAUUGAAUAAACUACCUGGUAAGAACUCUUUUUGUUUUUCCACUUCUUAGCAUCCCACCGUAAAAGGGAUAGGAUUCCCUGAAGCCUUGACACUAACCACUACAACACACACUGGAUUCACAUUGGACUUAAGAUUAUCUUUAUUGGCCUCAGAACCAAAGACAAAGUGAAGACAGUUGUCAUGUUGUUUUCAUCAAAAUAGAACCUGUACAAACACUUGUACAACACUUAUUUAAGAUAGUAUGUCAUUGCACGUUUGUAGAAUGUCAUUGCCUCCUCAUUUUUUUAAAAAACAGUUAGUCUCUACACAUCUAUAGACAGAAGAUGAGUUUCCAUGUAAGAGGACCAACAAGUAUGAUUUUCAGACGAGGUUGACUCCACACUUCUUGUUUAGCAGUUAAGCCAUAGAGCAUGACAUCAUUUUUAAAAUUCAUUUAUUGUUUGUACCUACACACCCACUGCCAAAAACAGACACAAAUAUUUUUAAAAUGUGAGGAAACACCUGCUUCUAGUUGCAUGCAGUUUUCCUCCCUGCAGAAAAAAAUCACACCAGUGAACUUUUCAUUAUCCAAAACCAUCCUUUCUCUAAAUUUAAAGAACAAAGAAUUCUGUGGCACGUAACAGACUAACAAAUUUAUUAAGACGUAAGCUUUUAAGGGCCACAAUCCAUUUCAUCAGAUGCCUGAAGUGUAAUCCUGAAUUAGCAAGCUUGCAUACACAUGGUGGUGGUAGUGAAGAAUGUAAAACAGUGAGAUUAGAGGGAAAUGAAAUGUAAAAAAAAAAAAAGCAGACUAACAUCACAUUUUGCUUAAAGUUAUUAAUGUUCUCAUCAUGCUGAAAAGAACCUUGCAAAUAUGUAAUUUUAUCAAAACAUGAUUAGAAAUGUAUGAAGAUUCGCUUGUGCCCAUGCCAGGAAACUCCUAUAGACAUACAAUUUAUUCUAUAUCUAAUUCCAGAUACUGCAAAGGACAUUGCUUUUUUCUGGGAGGACGCAGGGGGAAGCAUACCCCUAAGUUUGGCCUCAUUGGGGGGCAGUAUUUAAAUAUGAGUAGGAAAAUGACAGUACCCCUAAACAUUUUUUUAGAAAAAAAAGCACUGGCAAAGGACAUCGCUCAUAAAAUGUCCUUCAUCCCAAUACAAUAUACCUUCUGUAUCAAAAGACAAACUUUUGCUUUGAAAUAGGAAGUUUGGCCUACUGUAGCCAAUACUAAUAAUAAUAAUUUAUUAUUUAUACCCUGCCCAUCUGGCUGGGUUUCCCCAGCCACUCUAGGUGGCUUCCAGCAAAAAAUUAAACAUUAAAAGCUUCCCUAAACAAACACAUCAAUGUAUGCAUGCAUCCCUUUACUGGAAGCAUCCUCCAUACAGCAUUCAUGCCUAUUAUACACAACAUCAGACCUGAUUUACUGUAAAAGAAUGUAGGUUUCAUUGCGAAAUAAAGCAGUGCUAAGAAGCUAUAAAAGUAGAAGCAGCUAAUAAUGCCUGCCAAAACAGUGCCUGGCGUACAGUCAGAUGGCAAAUUAACAACUGUGUGGAUGUUGAAAAAGGGCUUUUGAUGAUUAAAAAUAGUUUUAGUUUUAGGGUGGCACCAGGAAAGGAUUUAAAACUGAAAAAAUGUUAGCAGGAAACCCCCAUCUUGAAUUCUCUCCUCUUACCUUUGCUCUGGGGGAUAAAAGGGAGGACUGUGUAUCUUUAGCUUUGUGGCCUUUUGAAUCCCUCAAAGUAUUAAGCUGCUGGGAAGCCCAGUGUUUUUUAAAUUCCUUGGCUCUGCUCUGCAAGCCAGAGAGGAUUAGUUUAUUCCUGCUUUGAAAAGUUUCUGGUUGCUAUGGAGAGAGUUGUACUUAAGGUAACAAGGGAGGUGGAUAGACAUUUUGUACAAGUUCUUCCUGGCAGGUUUCAGAAAGUACAUUGUAAAAUAUAGCUAACUAUUUUAAGUGUAUAUCUUAUGCAACUAUAUCCUAGUUAGAUACAUAUCUGCAGAACAAUUUAUCCAUUAAAAAUUAUAAAGUAAUCAAGAAGCACUUCUAUCUUUUAAAUGAUAUUUUCCUGCAAAAGAAAAAAAAGUAUUGAAAAUGUAAAUGCUUUCUAUUUCAUUCACAGAAUAUCUAGAUUCCAGGCCCUCCUCCACUCCUUAAAGUAAGAAUAACUUAAGAAAGAAACCUCUAUAUCCAUUUUUAUUAUUUGGGCUCCUUCCAGGCAACCCAUUUACCGGUAGCAAACAUUCAUCCUGAUUUGUUUGCAGGGAGAGUAGAUGACAUUGGCUAUUUAUCAAACAUUCGUUCUGAUUUGCUUGCAGGGAGGUUAGAUGAUGUUGGGUCAAUGCCAAUGUUAUCCCACUCUUCCCAGUACAUUUCCCCCCCAAAAAAUUCCUUCUUGCAAAAAGUCUCCCAUCUUUUUGGGGAAGUGGGUUGUUCUGCAAUACGUUCAAAUCAAUAUCUCCUGCCUGAGUGGUUCUACUUUCUGUUAUCCUGUGUGUUUUGCUUCUGUAACUGGAUACAGUCUUAUGAGCUGAAGUUUUUGAACCUUACUGGGGAUCCAGAAAGAUCCUGUGCACUUUUGAACCUCAGUAAACUAUUACUGAAGAAUUCUACUGCCUGAGUGUAUAUAUUUUAUUUUGAACUUUGCACGGGAGUUGAAUCCGACACAUCUGCUACUCUGCUACCUUCUGCCCACGUUCUGGAGUUGCUGUAUUUAGGCAUGGAGACAGGGGGGGUGCUGGAUUCUAAAUGGAAGCAUUGCAGACAAGGGCAUGCUCUGUGGCCCACUUGGAUUCUUAUUCUCUGCUCACUGCUGGAGAUAGAGCCAAAUAAUGGCUAACUUGUAUAUUUUUUUUAAAAAGGGGGUACAACCAUUCAUGUUUCUAUGUCCCAGCAGCCCUUGAUGCAGUCUGAAAUCUAUUUUGCACCCUACCACAAUAUACUGUAAUUUAAUUCAGUCUACAUAAAACAUCCCACAUUCCACCUCAAGAUAGUUAGAUUAUGUGGAAUUCCAGGCAUUUCCAUAAUUUCCCUUCUCCCCUCCAUUAAUGGUAUGGUUUUGCUUUACAUGUAACAUGACUUUGUGACAUAUUAGUCAGCCCUAAUAAAGGCUGCUGGAUUCCCCCCCCCCCCAUUGGACCAAUCACAUGGUUGCCUGAAAUUUUUCUAAGCAUGAAUGCAUGGUUUAGUCAAGACAGCCAGUGCUAUGUAAUGCAUAAUAAUUCCCUAAAUGCAAAUAUAAUCAGAGGGAUGCACUCCAUUAAAGUCAUGCAUACAACUGUUAGCCAGCAUUUAGAUCACUGAAUCCACAGGUAAGGGCAUCUAUCUCUCAUUAGCUCACGACAAGGAUUACCUUUGCCAGGGAAUGGAUGGUGGGAGUGCAACCCUAUUGAUUUUCCUGGACAUUUCAGCAGCUUUUAAUACCAGCUGACAAGUUCUUCUGGAUCAGCUGUCUGAAUUGGGACUGAGGCGGGGGAGCACAGUGUUAUGGUGGCUCUAGUCCUUCCUGGAGAAUCAUUUUCAGAAGGUGCCGUUGGCGGAUUUCUGUUCCAUGUCUAUGAACUGCCUCAGGGUUCUAUUCUGCCUCCUAUUCUUCUGGAGAUCUGAAGUAUCAGCAGUGUGAAGAUGACCUCUGUCUAUGUCUGCUGGUCCCAAAGAGGCUGCUGAACUUCUGAAUUGAUGUCUGGAGGCUGUACUGGGUAAACAACCUGAAACGUAAUUCCACACAUCAUAUUUUGACUCCCUCCCCCCCUUGAAUUUUAAAGGUGUGGCUUAUUUGCAGGUGCGGCUUAUAUUCGGGCUAAUACAGUAAACACCAUGAGCUAGAUUUAGAUUUGCUGUGAUUCAGUUGAUGCUCUCACUGGAGCAAGAGUGAAGGUGAUCUUCACAAAUACUUCCUUAGCUCUACAUGGGAAAACAGGAAUUGGGGGAACUCAGGUGAAGUCUGAAGUCUAAAUGGAAGCAUAAACAAUGUUGCUUCUUCCACCAUUCCACACACUGUUGGCAGAACAUUGCUAUGAACAAGGGCCCCAGAUUUCUGUAUUGCACAGUUAUUUCCAUCACUGUCAGCAGCUGAACAACAUGGGGAUGUUAAUAAGCUUUAUCAUACUCACUUCUUGGCUAAUAGCAGAAACAACUCUAUAUGUGCCAGCAGUUCAGCAUAAGAGUUUAGUUUUAUUUACACAGCAGUGUGGGACAUUAUAUUUUAAUGAUGCCCCCUUGGUAAUGUGCAGCUUUCUGGUAGAGGACCACAAUUUACUGAGCAACAGCCACUACUGAACCAGUGAACUACUUAUCUUGACGAACUUAGUAAAUGAGCUUUGAGCUGCCUUACAAUUGCACAGCAAUUGUGAGGAAUAAAGGAUGAAACCUGCACACUUCAGAUUUCCCCUAUGCUAUCAGUGUGCUGUGUGCAUAUUUUCUGUAAUUAGAUCCAUGGGGUGCAUUUUUUAUGAAAGAAUCUUACUCGCUGCACAAAAUGAAGUGGUGGAGGAGUAUAUGUGGCAAGUCUGCCGAUGCAGAAAUAAUGACAUGAAUAAUACCCACAUUUCAGAGUAAUAAGAGAAGUAACAUGUGCCAGUGUAAAUGUGUAGAACUAGAUCAGACAAUACUUCUCUCCCCUAACCUAAGCCAUCAGGUGGUCUUCCCAUGGAGACAUAUUGAAUUUGAUGGAUUCCUGACUGUUCUGGGGAAUUUUACAGGAUAUGGUCAGUUAAAAAAUAAUAAUAAAUAUUUCCACUGUUGUGCUGUAGAGAUCCUGACAGGUAAAAGCAUCCAUAUCAAAAUUUCCUUUUGGUGAAAUGUCGUCAUAUAAUCUGUCCGCAUAUUUAGUAGGAUAACUGAGGAGAAAUGUGAAUGUGUGUUUUAAUAAUUUCCUAUAUCUCUUGAUGAAUUUCAUUCCAGAAUAAACCAUUUUCACCUGAGAGAGGGGAAAAAUCCAUCACCUUUCCCAGCAGUUUGUUGCUGUGUUGUAAUAAUAUUUGAAUGAGUGUGUGAUGCUACCAGUGUAGAAUUUUUAAGGAACACGUUGCAGAUACUGAUUUGUAUGGCUUACAUUUUUAUUUAGUUAGUUAGUUAGAUUUGUAUAUCAUCUUUCACCCAAAGAUCACAGAGGGGUUCACAACUUAAAAAUACAAAAUGAGAGCACAAAAUAGUUAAUAUAACAAAACCAAAAACAAACAAACCCCCACAACACAUUUAAAAGGCCCUAGAAUGUUAAUCAGUCAAAGUCCGGGUUGAAGCGAAAUGUUUUUGCCCAAUGCCUAAAGAUAUGUAAUGAAGUGUCAAUACAG